GAUGAAGAACGCAGCGAAAUGCGAUAAGUAAUGUGAAUUGCAGAAUUCAGUGAAUCAUCGAAUCUUUGAACGCACAUUGCGCCCGCCAGUAUUCUGGCGGGCAUGCCUGUUCGAGCGUCAUUUCAACCCUCAAGACCCCUUCGGGGGACUUGGUGUUGGGGACCGGCACAGGGGCCUGCCUGCUUGUCUUGCAGCGCCCUCGCCGCCCCCGAAAUGAAUUGGCGGCCUCGUCGCGGCCUCCCCUGCGUAGUAGCACAAACCUCGCAACGGGAACGUGACGGCGGCCACUGCCGUAAAACAACCCAAUUUUAUUAGAGUUGACCUCGAAUCGGGUAGGAAUACCCGCUGAACUUAAGCAUAUCAAUAAGCGGAGGA
Molecule: unclassified non-coding RNA, 375 nt
Filed under: soil metagenome
Description: partial contains 5.8S ribosomal RNA, internal transcribed spacer 2, and large subunit ribosomal RNA
Rfam family: 5.8S ribosomal RNA (bases 1-120)
Source: RNAcentral